Molecule: long non-coding RNA, 1776 nt
Organism: Terrapene triunguis (Three-toed box turtle)
Lineage: Eukaryota; Metazoa; Chordata; Testudines; Emydidae
Source: Ensembl
CUUCUGGUGCAUCAGAGGACCUACACAGGUGAAAGACCCUACGCCUGCUUGGACUAUGGGAACAGCUUCAAUUGGAGAUUGGGGCUUGUCCAGCACCAGAAGACUCACAUGGGGGGAAAACCUCAUGAGUGCACUGAAUGCGGGCAAGGUUCAGGCAGAAAUCAAACCCGACUAAGCACGUGAGGCUCCACACCAGGGAGAAGCCCUAUAAAUGUCCCCAGUGUAGGAAAAGCUUUCAUUAGAAGAUCACCCUUUCCCAGCAUCAUGUUAUACACACCAGCAACAGAGCCCUCACAAAUGCAGCAAGUGUUAGAAAGCUUCACUGUCAAAUCAAACCUUGUUCAACACCCGAUGCCACAAAUAAGCAAUAGGCAUUGGAUAGCACAAAAUGGAAGAUGGAAAGAUAUAACCACUUCACCAGGGUACAGCCUUGAAUUAUUAAAAGAAAUUGCUUAAAAAGGGUGAAAUUCCAAUAAACAACAUCACAAGGUGGGUGAGGUGAUAACUUAUUUUUUAUUUCUACUGGCCAUUUGCCAACCAAGUGCUCAGACUUCAGCUCAGUUUCUCUGCUGUUUCCAUGGGUAUCCAGUAGAUGGCGGUAGUGUACAACAAAAGUCUUCAAUCCUUUUCCUAUCAGAGUCUUUUUGUUUGAUUCAUUUCAAGGAUUGUAUUUCAGAUUAGCCUGCCUCAUUUAUUACAUGGAGUGUAGUUGUAGCCGUGUUGGUCCCAGGAUCCUAGAGAAACAUGGCUAUUCUUAUUUCCAUGCUGCUGCUGGUGGCAACGCUGCCUUCAGGGCAGGGAGGCUGUGAAAAGUGAAAUGAACAAACACACAAAUCUCACUUUUCACAGCAGACUUGCUAGCGCAGAAUUCACAGCAGCAGCGCAGCAGGACGGGUGGCAAUGGGGCGCUAAGUCUGCUGUGAAAAGUGAUAUUGACAAAAUUCCUUUGCACCUCAUCAACGGUAUUAAACAUUAACUAUUUUCCAAAAUAACUUUUCUGCUUAGAAUAAUUCAAUAAAAAUGUGUUUUAGUCUUAAGUUGAUCUAAUAAAAGAUAUCACUUCACCCAUCUUGUUUCUCUAGUAUCCUGGGACCAACACGGCUACAACUACACUGCAUGCAAUAAAUGAGACGGGCUAAUCUGAAAUACAAUCCUUGAAAUGAAUCAAACAUAAAAAGAUAUAGGAAAAGGAUUGAAGACUUUUGUUGUACACUACCUCCAUCUACUGGAUACCCAUGGAAGCAGCAGAGAAACUGGGCUGAAAUCUGAGCACUCGGUUGGCAAAUGACCAGUAGAAAUUACAGGGAGGCCCCCUCCAACAACGACUGGAGUUGGGGUCUAUAAAACUGAGGUCACGCUGUGGGAGGAGCCUGGGGUUGACUGAACCCAUGAAGAAGCUGCAGUAUCCCCAGAUGUUCGGAAAGCAUUCUCCCCCUUGAUCCAGGGUUACCAGGAUAAGAAGAAGAGGUGAGAUUUCAUUUCAAAGAUUGUAUUUCCCCUUCUGUUCUUUAACAUAAGCUGAAGGUUGUAUUGUGUAAGUCAAUAUUCUCUAGUGAGACAUCACGUAACAACACUAUAGAUUUUCACUAAUGCUAUAAGCACUCUCUCCUUUAUAAACUCAAACAAACUGGCCUGCGAGAGAUUUAAAACAAUAACUUUAAGCAAUUGCUUUUAAUAGUCUAAACUUGUCUCUUUUGGACCAAUCCAUUCAAGUAGCCGCAAUCACGCUCUUCAAAGUGCCUUAAAGAUAAGUACCUCCUUGGAACUGCCAUAAUG